GACGAACGCUGGCGGCGUGCCUAACACAUGCAAGUCGAACGGUAAGGCCAUGCUCUUGUGGGGUUCUCGAGUGGUGAACGGGUGUGUAUAACGCGAAUGUAAUGCCCUUUGUUUCGGGGUAACAUCAGUAAAAAGGAGAUCAUACACGACAGAACAUUCUGUUGCACGGUGGGUUUAGGAAAAUUUCGGAGGUUGUGGAUGGACGCGCGGCUUUUCAGCUUGUUGGUGGGGAAGUGGCUUAACAAGGCGUUGACGGGUAGCCGGCCUGAGAGGGUGACCGGCCACAGAGGGACUGAGAUACGGCCCAGACGCCUACGGGAGGCAGCAGUGGGGAAUAGUGCGCGAUGGGCGGAAGCCUGAUGCAGCAACGCCGCGUGCGGGAUGACGGCCGUCGGGUUGUAAACCGCUUGCGCCUGUGACGAAGCGUGAGUGACGGUAAUGGGUAAAGAAGCACCGGCUAACUACGUG
Molecule: ribosomal RNA, 468 nt
Filed under: uncultured bacterium
Lineage: Bacteria
Description: partial 16S ribosomal RNA
Rfam family: Bacterial small subunit ribosomal RNA
Source: RNAcentral